UACUGGGGGCUCCUGCUGAUUUCUAAACUCCAACUCAGCCAGGGUCCACCCACCAGGUGUCUGCUCUCUCACCAGGUCCUUCUGCUCCCUGACCUCCCACUAAUGUCUCCUCAUGGUCCCCUCCCCAACUGCGCCCUUACCCAGUGCUCCCUGCAUGCUGGCUGUGGGCUCUACCCCAGGAUCCUCUCGCUUUCUUCUAGUGGCCUCAACGCUUAGCCCUACUUAGGGUUGCAGCUUCUAGGCCCCUGCCCAGGCAUUCACAAGGGGGUGAUCACCUCUGAGGUAGCAGCCAGCCUCAGAUCCCACAGAGCUAGCUCCUUCCCAGACAGCAUGACCACCACAGCUCUGAGGCUCGGACCUCACGGGACAGUCCCAACUCUCCUUUUGCCUUCAUCCACCAGCCCCUAGCAACACAGGAUCCCAGCAAUAAUUUGUGAAGGAGUAAACAUGCAUCUACCCAUUGAUCCUCUCUUCAGGCUUGGAUCCAUCCCUGCAGGCUCUGGACCCAGGACUAAGACAUAAGGAAGAGGCUAGCUUCUCAUCACUCCUCAGUCUAGUCUGAUGGCAGGCAGCAAGGUUGCUGUGCUGGUUUCCCCUAGCCAGCCUUUGACACAGUCCUUCCUCACCGUCACUGGGCCAGGUCCACACUCAGAACCCUUCAUGGGCACAGCCACACCAAUCCAUAGAGCGGAAGCUUCUGGAGUCCUUCAGCCCUUCCACGUCUUUCACUCAGCUAGGAAAUGCAAGGAGCUGUAUCCCCCGCCACCACUCCCAGGUCAUCUCAGGCUGCACCUAAAUUUCUGAAAGCCCCUCACUUCCUAGGUCUACAUUCCCCUGGGAGAGACAGACCAAUAAUAAAGUAUUGUGCAAUACGAUAACAAUAGUCAUUUCCUGUUUCUUCAGCUCAAAACCAGAGCCUAGUGCCUCCUAGGAAAGUUGCUCUACCACUAAGCCAUAUUCCCAUCCUCUAGUAACAUCUCCUUCCCUCCCCGUCCUGCUCUUCCUCCCCUCCCCCUGAGACUCCAUAGCCCAAGCUGCCCUGACAACCCAUUUGCUGCCGUCUCCCAAAUGCUGGGAUUUUAAGUGUGAGGCACACUCCCGGCAUUUUAGUAGGUCCUUUGCAGAAGCAAAGACACGUGGAGGACAGGGUUCUGGUGGGGAGGGGUAACAGCCUGCUGAGCAAGAAUCCCUAAUAGAGUGAAGGCCUGAAUCACAGGGCCCAGCGGUACAAAGGCCCUGAGGCAGCAGUCAGCUGAGGAGGUUACAAUGACUGGGUCUAUGAGGGUGGCUGGGAUGAAGGAUGCAAAGCUAAGGCUUCCAGGAGCUGUUGAAGGAGAGGGAGAAUUGGUGCUGGGCUCACAAGCCUUUGAAUAAGAACAGUCCUUCAGAGAUUGUUAAGCAGAUUACUUCCAUCAGUAUUGAGCCUGGAGUGGAGGUUGAAGUCACCAUUGCAGAUGCCUAAGCCAACUGUUUAAAUAAAUUGACUUAAUUGUUAAAAAAAAAAAAAAAAGAAUUCAGGACGUGGU
RNAcentral lists this long non-coding RNA (1526 nucleotides) under Rattus norvegicus (Norway rat). RNAcentral's name for it is "long non-coding RNA NONRATT029623". Lineage: Eukaryota; Metazoa; Chordata; Mammalia; Rodentia; Muridae. The record is from RNAcentral.